UGCAUUUUAAUUUCCAUGCAAAAUUAAAACUAACUGAUACUUCCUGCCUGCCUGCCUGCUAGAGAUAUUUCGUUUAUGUCUCAAUAUACAUUUACAACCGUUCCCGAUCGCGCCAGACAUUCCAUUCUCGAUAAGGUUUACACGAAUGCGCUCGUAAAAUCGCUGACCAGAACAAUUCUGUAUAACCCAAAACCGGAAAUUAAACAGAGCCAUGUUCGCCACUUGUCGUCAUCAGCAAAUCGUGAAUACGAUGCUAUGUCGAUCUAAGUAGCGCUCACCUGGUUAGAAUCGAGUUUUUGCAUAGAUGUGUAGGACCACCCCGCUGUAUAUCUGGGUGCGGCGACUAGGAGAACUUCUAUCAAAACAACGGACACACGAAAAGGCAUUAAAAGAACGUUCAGUUUUGGUCUGCUAUCGAUAUUACGUAUGAGAGUGUUUAUAAUCUGCUGUGAGAAGAGCGUCCAACCCAAAAGGGCUAGGCGAUCAGGCGGUUGGACUAAACAAACGGAGUAUUUUAAUCUAGUCAACUAGUGGGCGUAAACGGUUAGCUCCAUCUCAAGAGAUGCUUUUAGCAAAUCAGUUAGCCCGACCGACGGUGAAAAGCUGCCAGCAGCAUGUUCAGGCAGGGCUCUCGCUGCAACCAAAACAUUAUAAUUUCCAUCUUUCGGAACCAAUGAAUGAGUGAUCAUGAUAUAUAUCCCCAAGUGUCCGUGAAAAGAUGUAAACAUCCCCUUACUUUCCUUGUAAUGUAGUAUUCAAAAAGAAAAAUUGUCCGAACAAGUCGAAUACGAAAUAUUCAGGACUAGCUCUUGUGAACGACGUUAUUAUUUGAGCUUUUGGAACCUCAAAUUCAUCAGUUGGGUCUUCUCAAAAAUAGAGGUGCGCUCGGAUUUCACCUUGACAAAGAGUUUGUUCAUCCUGCCGUGCUAGAAAAAGAGCACUGUUUAAAUCGUCGAAAGCCUCUUGCCAGAGAACGCCAUUUUUAAACGAAAUUGGUUUCUUCGCCUUGGUUGGCUGUUGAAGCAUAGCUUUACUUGGAGCUACAUCGUACCGCCUUUCCUUCUUUGGCUCCAGCCUGGCUUCACACAGAAGUUACAGAUUUGGAACUGACCAAAACGAAGGCGAUGAAGCUUGGAAGGGGAAGCAGAAUAAUGGCCGCUAACACCCUGUACCUUGCCAGGUCGCCCUCUGUCUACGUUAACUGGAUUCCGUAUUUAGGGGUUGUCCUUCUCCGCAAAUAGCAGAAGUUCCAUUACGCACGUCGCCGAAAGAUGCUGGAAAACAGUGUUAGCCGCACGAUCAAUCUAGUCGUCUCGCCGCUUGUCCUACGCAGCCGCUCUCAAUUUGUCCAACUUCAACGUAGCUUCGACCAUUCGGAAGAUCAUUCGGAAGGA
Long non-coding RNA from Varroa destructor (honeybee mite), 1394 nucleotides. The record is from RefSeq and is a predicted model, not a curated record. Lineage: Eukaryota; Metazoa; Arthropoda; Arachnida; Mesostigmata; Varroidae.